RNA transcript from Cercocebus atys (sooty mangabey), 4030 nucleotides. RefSeq lists it as uncharacterized. NCBI's taxonomy places the organism in Eukaryota, Metazoa, Chordata, Mammalia, Primates, Cercopithecidae. The transcript has a single exon. The record is from RefSeq and is a predicted model, not a curated record.
CAUGAGCCACCAUGCCCAGCCCCAAAAGUAUCUUUUUGGUUUUUGAUUUUUUUUUUUUACCUUUUUUCCUACACUUGGUAAUCAGGAAGUAAAAGGUGUCUUUUUGACUGUCGACUUUUUGACUGCCAUAGCCUUAGUCUAAAUGAACAGACAACACUGAGAAAUGGAAAGGGUCAAAGGGGAGGCCUAUUUUGGCCAGAAAGAGUGAAGCAGAGUCAAAGGGGAAGAAAAGACAGGGAAGAGGCCCAGGAUGGAUGGUGAGAAGUGAAUUUCACCAACCUCGACACCUCGCAUAGGGAGCCCCAAUCUGCUUGUCUCCUAAUCUAAGAGUAAAAAGGAGGAGAUGUCAAGAAGGAAAUAAAGGAGGAAGAAAAAGAAUCACCUGUUGAGCAGUUACUGGAUGACAGACACUGCAUGGGAUGCUUUCACAUGUUGUUUUAUUGAGAUAUGCCAAUGCAAAAAGAAAGAAUUCUAUGCAUGGGGAAAAGACUAAAAGGAAAUACAUCAAAAUCCUAACAGUAAGGGUGUCAGAUUACAAGAGCCCCUUUUUCCAUUCUCCAUAAUUUUUAACCAUAAAUAUAAUAUGGUGUAUUAACAUUAUAAUACAAAUUAAACUAAAAUUUAAGGUGGAUUUAUGGGUACAAAUCCACCCACCCUAGAAUAUAGAAAGUAAACUACUAUAAAUUAAGCCAAACUAUACACUGAAUAUUUAAACAGAAAAGGAAAAUGUAGCCAUUUCAAAUGUAUAUAAUAUGUAACUAUGCAAUUAUAAACCCAGAAAGAGAACAUGAAAGAAACUACACAGGUGAUAUGGACCACAGAUUGAUUAAGAACAGAAAUGUGAAAUUGUUAGGAAUGUUAUAAAUCAUUUUCUCUCCAUAUUAUAAACUACCAAGAUGUUCUCUGUGUGUGUGGCCUAUAAAACUAUAAAAUAUACUAAAAGUCCUCUCUUCUAUAAAAACAUUUAGACUUUUACCUGUUACAUACUUUUCCACAUUCACUGCAUUAUUUUCUUUCUUUUAGGUGUGUACAACUCUCAUAUUUAAAUAAUCCCCCCCUUUUUUUUUGGUCUUUUAGAGCAUUUCAAAGAUAACAGGUAUUUUUUUUUUAAUAAAUGAAAUAUGUCAUUAUAGGCCGCUCGUAUUCUAAGCAGUCUGAAUCCCCAAUUAAUCUCUUCCAAAUAUGCAUAUUUAGUUUUCAUUCUGCUCAAAAAUGAAACCCUAACCUAAAUACUCCAAGUGAAAUUUCAGGGGAAAAAUACUGUUCAAAAACCUAGAUAAUGCAUUCCUUUGUUGAUGCUAAAUAUAGUCAUCUCAAGAUGACAUACAUUUUGACAAUGAUCAGCCUUACAUGUCAAAUUUUCAAAAAUAGCACAAAUUCCAUUUUAAGAUGAGCAGGAAAAAUUGCUAUUCAUUACAUUUCAAUCGAAAAUGGAUUUUAAAGUAUAAAUCUUCUAUUAAAACUGGAUUACAUUAUAACUAUAAUGAGGAAAACUGGAUUUAAAAUAAUUUUGUUGUGGUUUUAGCUUAGAAUUCUUUGAGGGAAUUGUUGCAGAUAAACUACAUAAUUGCAUGCAUUUUUCUUUAAAUUGUCCCUCAGAAGUAUUAGUCAAAAUAUAAAAUAUCUGCAAAAAUACGGUGUUAAUUGCUGGAAGGAAGAAGAAACUUAAACAGCUACAUUGGUUAGUCAAAGUUUACUUAUACAAAUUAUACCUCCCCCCAAAAAAACCUUUCUCUCAUUUGAUUAAUUAUGCAGUUUUUCUUAACAAUACUCCAAACUCAAAAGAAUUCGAGACAGUUUUCUUACUGCAUCAAUUUAACCUGUAAAAGGAUAAUAGAGGGGGAAAUUAUGUGGUCCACUCAAUAACAUGUGACUAAGAUGGUAUAAAUACUUAAGUUUAUUUUAUCACAUUACCUAAGACAUAGUUAUGUUGUGACUCGCAGGCCAAUGGGCCGCUGCUACAUGAAUUCAUUAAUAAAAUUUAACGAUGAAUGAUGUUCCUGUUGCUUUGGUCAGGGAACUGAUUUCUUUAUUAUGGCUUCUUUUCUCUACCUGUGUCUUUACCAAGGACAUUUUGUUAGGACUUAUCCUUAUGCUAUUUUUACCUUGUUAUCUCUCUGCCAACUUCGUUCACGUUGUGCUUUAAUAACUAUAAAAUGAGUAUCUCUAAGUCAUUGCAGUAACCAACUAUAACCUCUCAACUUCGUCAUUUUCUUUAUAAAUGCCAAUGCUAAUGCAUUUGUAGAACGUUUCACAGUUUACAAACAGCUGGAAUGGUUUGGCUUUUUCAAAAGCAUAUAAGCAAGGGGAAUUCUCAAGAGGUGACUACACUCUUCACUCACGUAAACUACGUAAACUUCGUAAACUUCCAGCCCUAGUUGCCCAACCCCCAGCAUCCCACCGCGGGGAGAAUCACGAAAAAAAAAAAAACGCGUUGGAGACAGGAGUAGGGGGAUAUGCGGGGGUGUCGGGGGAGUAAUAGGCUGUUAAAUCGUAUUUCUUCCCAUCUUCCACAGGGACUGAUCAGAAAGAAUUUCUUAACUGGCACUGCUGGCAGAGACGGAGACCGCGGCGGGGGCACGUGGUGGACGGCACCGAACUUCCCUAAGGACCCCAAGAGUUCAGCCGAGGGACCGGCACCUACUCGGCUCACAGAGGGCUCCCUCCCUACAGUACGGAACGCACCUGAAACUCAGCCGACAAGGCGCAGGGGAGCAGGGCAAAGACAUCGCAACUAGAAGCCCGAGGUCGGCUGAGGCUUUCAGACACUGGGGCAGCCCCUGUUCGGCACCCCGCCUAGCCCGCAGGACGCGGCUCGGAGGCCGGGUUCGCCCGGGCCGGGGCCAGUGCGGAGCCACAGCUGUAUGGCGCCCGGCGCACUCCCGUGCUGCAGCGGAGCAUCGCCAGAAGCCGCGGACCCCGAGCGCCUCUCUGCAGCCGCUGCAGCCGCCGCUCCCGCCCCCGCCAGGGGACCCUACACCUCAGUCUCCACUCCCCGUAGCCCACGUUCCCCAACUCUUCUCACCCUCCAGGAGCCGGUGACCCGCGAAGGUCCUUCUUUUCGCGCGGAGGGACUGUGCGCGUCCUGCCUAGCUGUGGGUAAGGGUCUGGGAGCUCUGGCCGUUACACUUCUGCUCCAGCCGCUGGGAGUCCUCUGGCUGCCGCUGCCGCCGCCGCCGCCGCCGCCGCCGUCUCCAGCAGCAAGUUUCCAUAAAAGUCCUGGUGCGCAGCCUGUUCCCGCAUUCCAGGCGGGCCCAGCGCCGGCUGCAGCUGUUCCAAAACACAAGGCCAGUUCCCCCAACCCCCACCUCCGCCGGAUCACCCGGAGGGGGGUGGAGAGUCGAGGAGAAAAGCAGGGGACGGGGAGCGUGGCUGCAACUUUCCGCCAGAAUUUGUCUGUCUCCCGGCCCUAGGUGCGCGGGCUGACCCCCUAACCUUGGGCCUGCCUCCACCUCCAGCCUGGGGAAGGAAGGCUGCCUCUGCCACGGGAAAGGAAUGAGGCUGAAAUGGGCUUCAUUACCGGUCUGGAGCUGGCUCCCCCUACCCGCAACCCGUUUGCUGUGGGGCCCACUUCUCUCAGCUACUCUACCCGUCCUAGUUUCCAGUCAAGAAGCCAAGCCACUACAUUAUCUUCUACUACCCUAAGCAUUGACCUUUGGCCACGUUUUCCUUUAUUACAAAGAGCGUGGGGCAGCGAUCCGGGAACACUUCAUCUGUCUAUUGCUCCCCUUUUCUUAGCUCCAGUCUUUAACUCUGAAAGGAGAGUUAAAAGGAAGAAGAAAGAAGAGAAGGAGGAGAUCAAUUGAAGGCAGAGGAGGAGGAGAAGAAAAAAAGGAAUAUAUUUAUAUAAGUACAAAUAUAUUUAUAUUCCACCUUUUUGUUAAUUGAAGGCAAACCAUGUCUGGUCUUCCUAAAGCUUCAUAAAGGCAUCUUUGACUAUUAGGCACCCACAGACCUUUUUCAACUUGGACCGCCAGCCUGUCAAAUCCAUUAGACAAUCCCAUAUUAAAACCCGAAAUGCACACUCAGA